CUCUAGACUGCUACAUUCUAGAAGAGUUGAAGAAAGCACACACAUUCACACGCACAUACACUCAUCACCACCACGACCCCAAAAUAAAAGCUGAAAGACGGUGACACCACCUGGCUUGUGCAGAGUUCGAAACCGCAUCACUGUGGCUCCGUCUCCCCCGCCGUCUGCAUGGAGGGGCCCCAGGCGGCAGCCCCGACUGGCAGGGUGUUGGUUCAUCCAUCAAAGUGGAAUUCGGUCAGGGGGCAACAGGCCUGGCACGUGGCCCCUGAGAAAAUCAAAAGAUGCAGCUGGUUGCUGAGCACGACCCGCCUCGUCCCUUGCUCGGCUGGAGGAGACAAGCAAGGUUAUUGCACAUGAGUUUAGGUUUUCAUGUUCUCCAAACAUUAUGACACACCCCUAAUCGAUCAUGGUGUAUCUGUGUGUAUGCCCAGCAUGGAAAUGAGGAGUGGAUGAGAGAGGAACCAAGAGCAAGAUGGUAUUUUUUCCUUUUGAAAGCAAGUGCUUCAAAGAUUACAUAAACCUGAAGUUGCCUGAGAAUGAAGCCAAGAUGGAGAGAAACAGAGGUGUGCAGGGAACUUGGAGAACUGACACCCCCAGAGAAAGACGGAUGUGGUUCGUCACAGAGGUGUGGUCCAUGGAUGCUCCACAAUCUCCAGUUCCUACCAGGUCACAAUGUGAUGGGAACCUCGCCCUGCCACGUGGACCCUGAGACUGGAGCCCCCACCGAGGAAACCCCAGGUGAGUGGACACUUGUGCUGCACAU
RNAcentral lists this long non-coding RNA (763 nucleotides) under Bos indicus x Bos taurus (hybrid cattle). Its description in RNAcentral is "lncRNA (ENSBIXG00000007463.1)". Lineage: Eukaryota; Metazoa; Chordata; Mammalia; Artiodactyla; Bovidae. The record is from RNAcentral.